CCUACGGGAGGCUGCAGUGAGGAAUAUUGGUCAAUGGACGAGAGUCUGAACCAGCCAAGUAGCGUGAAGGAUGACUGCCCUAUGGGUUGUAAACUUCUUUUAUAUGGGAAUAAAAUGUUCCACGUGUGGGAUGUUGUAUGUACCAUAUGAAUAAGGAUCGGCUAACUCCGUGCCAGCAGCCGCGGUAAUACGGAGGAACCGAGCGUUAUCCGGAUUUAUUGGGUUUAAAGGGAGCGUAGGUGGAUUGUUAAGUCAGUUGUGAAAGUUUGCGGCUCAACCGUAAAAUUGCAGUUGAAACUGGCAGUCUUGAGUACAGUAGAGGUGGGCGGAAUUCGUGGUGUAGCGGUGAAAUGCUUAGAUAUCACGAAGAACUCCGAUUGCGAAGGCAGCUCACUGGACUGCAACUGACACUGAGGCUCGAAAGUGUGGGUAUCAAACAGGAUUAGAUACCCUAGUAGUC
RNAcentral lists this ribosomal RNA (460 nucleotides) under uncultured bacterium. Its description in RNAcentral is "partial 16S ribosomal RNA". It matches the Rfam family "Bacterial small subunit ribosomal RNA", at positions 338 to 795 of the family's 1533-position model. The record is from RNAcentral.